Molecule: ribosomal RNA, 910 nt
Filed under: Virgibacillus sp.
Lineage: Bacteria; Bacillati; Bacillota; Bacilli; Caryophanales; Bacillaceae
Description: bacterial SSU rRNA
Rfam family: Bacterial small subunit ribosomal RNA
Source: RNAcentral
GUCGAGCGCGGGAAGCAGGCAGAUCCUCUUCGGAGGUGACGCCUGUGGAACGAGCGGCGGACGGGUGAGUAACACGUGGGCAACCUGCCUGUAAGACUGGGAUAACCCCGGGAAACCGGGGCUAAUACCGGAUAAUACUUUUCGUUGCAUAACGAGAAGUUGAAAGGCGGCUUUUAGCUGUCACUUACAGAUGGGCCCGCGGCGCAUUAGCUAGUUGGUAAGGUAACGGCUUACCAAGGCGACGAUGCGUAGCCGACCUGAGAGGGUGAUCGGCCACACUGGGACUGAGACACGGCCCAGACUCCUACGGGAGGCAGCAGUAGGGAAUCUUCCGCAAUGGACGAAAGUCUGACGGAGCAACGCCGCGUGAGUGAUGAAGGUUUUCGGAUCGUAAAACUCUGUUGUCAGGGAAGAACAAGUGCCGUUCGAAUAGGGCGGCACCUUGACGGUACCUGACCAGAAAGCCCCGGCUAACUACGUGCCAGCAGCCGCGGUAAUACGUAGGGGGCAAGCGUUGUCCGGAAUUAUUGGGCGUAAAGCGCGCGCAGGCGGUCCUUUAAGUCUGAUGUGAAAGCCCACGGCUUAACCGUGGAGGGCCAUUGGAAACUGGAGGACUUGAGUACAGAAGAGGAGAGUGGAAUUCCACGUGUAGCGGUGAAAUGCGUAGAGAUGUGGAGGAACACCAGUGGCGAAGGCGACUCUCUGGUCUGUAACUGACGCUGAGGUGCGAAAGCGUGGGGAGCGAACAGGAUUAGAUACCCUGGUAGUCCACGCCGUAAACGAUGAGUGCUAGGUGUUAGGGGGUUUCCGCCCCUUAGUGCUGAAGUUAACGCAUUAAGCACUCCGCCUGGGGAGUACGGCCGCAAGGCUGAAACUCAAAAGAAUUGACGGGGGCCCGCACAAGCGGUGG